AUGAAAAAGAUAGCGGCGGGAGCAUUCGCAGAUCUGCCCCGCAGUGUAUCUGCCGCCGCCGCAUUCUACCGGGCCGAGGAGGGGAGCUCGAUGGAGAAGGUGUUCUGGUCCCAGUAUGCUGAGGCCGGACACCCGGUGCCCCUGAGCGACCAGCUGAAGCAGCUAGUCGAGCUCCAUAAGGCAGCCGAACAGGCCAUGAAGGGCCUUAUAGGCCGGCUGUGGCCAUGGGAGGCCAUGCCUGGGAGCUACUUUGGGCUAGUGCGGCGGCUGGUGGAUGCCUGUCCAUGGCUUGAAGUCAUCAAGCGCUCCAUAUGCAUCGAAGGCGCACGUAGGGCCCUUGCCCGUGCCAAAGUGCACUGGGGCAAGCUGGAUGCUGAGAAGCUGGUGAAGGAUGGGCCACCGGAGGGGAAGGAGCAUCGCAAGCCCAAGAUGUACUAUGAGGGCGUCCUGAAGGGUGUCCGCCUUGUGGCGAACGAAUGUUCCAAGGAUUUAAUUUUUGAGUAA
This 504-nucleotide ribosomal RNA is filed under the name Triticum aestivum (bread wheat). RNAcentral's name for it is "partial small subunit ribosomal RNA". Lineage: Eukaryota; Viridiplantae; Streptophyta; Magnoliopsida; Poales; Poaceae. The record is from RNAcentral.